RNAcentral lists this long non-coding RNA (728 nucleotides) under Mytilus galloprovincialis (Mediterranean mussel). Lineage: Eukaryota; Metazoa; Mollusca; Bivalvia; Mytilida; Mytilidae. The record is from RNAcentral.
CCUUGUGUUUAAAUUUCAUAGAUUUCUAUUUACUUAUACUAACGUUAUGGUGCGAAAACCAAUAAAAAUGCUUAUUUGGGUCCCUUUUGGCCCCUAAUUCCUAAACUGUUGGGACCUAAACUCCCAAAAUCAAUACCAACCUUCCUUUUGUAGUCAUUAACAUUGUGUUUAAAUUUCAUUGAUUUCUAUUUACUUAAACUAAAGUUAUUGUGCGAAAACCAAGAAUAAUGCUUAUUUGGGCCCUUUUUUGGCCCCUAAUUCCUAAACUGUUGAAACCAAAACUCCCAAAAUCAAUCCCAACCGUUCUUUUGUGGUCAUAAACCUUGUGUCAAAAUUUCAUAGAUUUCUAUUAACUUAAACUAAAGUUAUAGUGCGAAAACCAAGAAAAUGCUUAUUUGGGCCCUUUUUUGGCCCCUAAUUCCUAAACUGUUGAAACCAAAACUCCCAAAAUCAAUCCUAACCGUUCUUUUGUGGUCAUAAACCUUGUGUCAAAAUUUCAUAGAUUUCCAUUCACUUUUACUAAAGUUAGAGUGCGAAAACUAAAAGUAUUCGGACGACGACGACGACGACGACGCCAACGUGAUAGCAAUAUACGACGAAAAAUUUUUCAAAUUUUGCGGUCGUAUAAAAAAGUGUUUACAGUCAAUCUAUUCAUUUGUGUCUCCCCUUCUCAUCAAUCUCAGUAAGAUUUGUUGGGGGGUUUUCCACACUAUAAAAACAAAAUGAAU